AGAGUUUGAUCCUGGCUCAGGAUGAACGCUGGCGGCGUGCUUAACACAUGCAAGUCGAACGAAACACCUUAUUUGAUUUUCUUCGGAACUGAAGAUUUGGUGAUUGAGUGGCGGACGGGUGAGUAACGCGUGGGUAACCUACCCUGUACAGGGGGAUAACAGUCAGAAAUGACUGCUAAUACCGCAUAAGACCACAGCACCGCAUGGUGCAGGGGUAAAAACUCCGGUGGUACAGGAUGGACCCGCGUCUGAUUAGCUGGUUGGUGAGGUAACGGCUCACCAAGGCGACGAUCAGUAGCCGGCUUGAGAGAGUGAACGGCCACAUUGGGACUGAGACACGGCCCAAACUCCUACGGGAGGCAGCAGUGGGGAAUAUUGCACAAUGGGGGAAACCCUGAUGCAGCGACGCCGCGUGAGCGAUGAAGUAUUUCGGUAUGUAAAGCUCUAUCAGCAGGGAAGAAAAUGACGGUACCUGACUAAGAAGCACCGGCUAAAUACGUGCCAGCAGCCGCGGUAAUACGUAUGGUGCAAGCGUUAUCCGGAUUUACUGGGUGUAAAGGGAGCGUAGACGGAGUGGCAAGUCUGAUGUGAAAACCCGGGGCUCAACUCCGGGACUGCAUUGGAAACUGUCAUACUUGAGUGCCGGAGGGGUAAGCGGAAUUCCUAGUGUAGCGGUGAAAUGCGUAGAUAUUAGGAGGAACACCAGUGGCGAAGGCGGCUUACUGGACGGUAACUGACGUUGAGGCUCGAAAGCGUGGGGAGCAAACAGGAUUAGAUACCCUGGUAGUCCACGCCGUAAACGAUGA
This 806-nucleotide ribosomal RNA is filed under the name uncultured bacterium. RNAcentral's name for it is "bacterial SSU rRNA". It matches the Rfam family "Bacterial small subunit ribosomal RNA", at positions 8 to 812 of the family's 1533-position model. The record is from RNAcentral.